CUGAAGUGAUCCACGUUAGAAUAAUAUCUUAUUAGAAGUAAACAUGACUGCAUGAUUUCAAACAAGCUGAUUAGAAUCUUCUUUGCUGUUUUAUGAAAUUCUUUCAACCUGCUCAGGUUCAAAUUGUAAAAUCUGUCAUACUAUUUUACAUUUAAUCAUUGUAUGUGAAACCUAUCUAUUCAUGGUGCCAAAUCCAAAUUUUCUUUUGUGGG
RNAcentral lists this unclassified non-coding RNA (212 nucleotides) under Hevea brasiliensis (rubber tree). Lineage: Eukaryota; Viridiplantae; Streptophyta; Magnoliopsida; Malpighiales; Euphorbiaceae. The record is from RNAcentral.